RNAcentral lists this ribosomal RNA (253 nucleotides) under uncultured bacterium. RNAcentral describes it as "partial 16S ribosomal RNA". It matches the Rfam family "Bacterial small subunit ribosomal RNA", at positions 524 to 776 of the family's 1533-position model. The record is from RNAcentral.
UCCGUAGGGGGCAAGCGUUGUCCGGAUUUAUUGGGCGUAAAGAGCGUGUAGGCGGCCAUACAGGUCCGUUGUGAAAACUGGAGGCUUAACCUCCAGACGUCGAUGGAAACCGUAUGGCUAGAGUCCGGAAGAGGAGAGUGGAAUUCCUGGUGUAGCGGUGAAAUGCGCAGAUAUCAGGAAGAACACCCGUGGCGAAGGCGGCUCUCUGGGACGGUACUGACGCUGAGACGCGAAAGCGUGGGGAGCGAACAGG